Molecule: long non-coding RNA, 514 nt
Organism: Girardinichthys multiradiatus
Lineage: Eukaryota; Metazoa; Chordata; Actinopteri; Cyprinodontiformes; Goodeidae
Exons: 2
Source: RefSeq, a predicted model, not a curated record
GUGCUGAUGAGCCGUCACUGGGAGCUCCAUGACUUAGAUGACUUGCAAACCGCCUUACAACCGGGUGGAAAUGUCUCUGAAGAUACAGCAACAGACAUGUUGAUGUCAGACAUUUGUGUCUAUACAUACCUGCAAACUACGCUAGUCCAGACUCAGCCACCGAAAGCCUUGGUAGUCUCCAGCAUCAUUGGGAAAGCCUGUUCUGAUGACAUCGAGCACAUAAGAUGGCAGAGGCUUGCGUGUGUCACUCAGUGAUGCUGUGUGCCCACCAGAUCAUCUGCCUACAGGGAAAUAUGCCAUACUGCCUGAAAUCUGAAGAUAUGUCAAUUUACUCAAUGUUUUAAAGAUUUAGUAUUUUAAGGUUUAAUAGUCAGGAACAUUUUGAUGAAUGUAGUUUAUUUUUUCAUGUACAACAUUAAACAUUUUGUAAAACUGAUUGUGGUCCUACUAAUUUACAUGUAACAAAAUCAUCUACUUAUAAGACACUGUAAUAAAUAUGUUCUUACUAAUUUAA